Columba livia (rock pigeon) is the source of this 9117-nucleotide long non-coding RNA. RefSeq lists it as uncharacterized. The transcript is spliced from 6 exons. NCBI's taxonomy places the organism in Eukaryota, Metazoa, Chordata, Aves, Columbiformes, Columbidae. The record is from RefSeq and is a predicted model, not a curated record.
GAAAAAACACAGAGAGGGAAUGAGUGUGUAUAUGUAAAAGGAAACAUGAGAGGGAUAUUUUAACUUAUACAUUCCAGCUCCUCACUCUGAACUGGAUCCAAUGCCUAUAAAAGUCAGUGGAAAAACUCCUACUGACUUCAUGAGAACUGGAUCAGGUUCCAUAUGAGUUGCACCUACUUCGGCUCCCUGCCAUUGGUGGAGGUAGCCCUAAAAGAGAGGUUCAGUGAAGGGAGUUCAAUUUACAUGACCUUCCAGUUCACUCUCCAUUUACAGCUGCUCUUUUAGUCAAGAAAAAACAUCCCAGCUUUGCAAAAGAGGAAGGUCAUAGAAUCACAGAAUAUCUCAAGUUGUAAGGCACCCAUAAGGAUCAUCGGGUCCAACUGCUGCUAAAAGAACUAUGUAAAAGUAAACCAUAUGUCUAUGAGCAUCAUCCACAUGCUUCUUGAACUCUGACAGGCUUGGUGCCAUGACCACUUCCCUGGGGAGCUUGUUCCAGUGACUGACCACCUUCUUGGUGAAGAAAGUGUUGGGAGUGCAACACCACACUUGUGCCACGGCAGUUGUGGGAGAUGGCUGUACCUUCUAUCAAGAGGCUGAUUUGGACAUCAGCAUACAGACCAUUAAAGCAGAUUCUUCGGAAAGAAACAAAAUGGAGGAACUGAUGCCCAGCAGUGCUCAUUCACAAGGAGUGUAUGCCUUCUUCUUCAGCCUGCCUGCAAAACAGCUCAGGCCUGCAGUACUGCUGUGGCCAGGAGUGAGAAAAGCAAGAACAUGGUACUCAUGGUCUGAGGAUCAGUGGAAACCUGAAGAAGCUACAAUAGUAGCUAAAUAAGGUUCCAGUCUAGUUUGAGAAGAGUUUGGCCCCUCUGUGGCACUGUUAUGAGAAGCAUGGGUGGCUGCAUUUCAUUUCAAGGUUUCAGAUGUUAUUUUAGUUCAACUCUGCAGGAGACAAUUUAGCAUAUGUAUUCUCACUCUUGCUUUGUAUGUCCCAUUACGUAGAAGAGGCAGAAAAACAAAAAUGGAGAGGGAAUAUUCUUCAGUGGUGUUUUUAGAACAAGAAACUAAAUUGACAACUUUGAAUUGUCCCUGACAAGAAUUCCUCCAUCUCCCGUUAUUUGUACAGCAAGCUGACAUCUUAGUGGCAGCUGUGACUAGUCAAUAGGAAUAUCUUCCCCUCUCCAUCCUCUCAUUGCAACUCAGAAUGUCAUUUUUGUUUCAAGUUUUAUGCAAUGUUCUCCAAUUGUGUUUCUUCCUUUGUUCUUUUAUACCUACUGAGAAACUCUAAGAGCUCCUCUCCCUGUAUUUCAUUUUUUCUGAUUUAUUCACUUUCUCAUUUUCAUCUCUGCAGCUUUUCCAGAAUCUAGCAAGUUUUGAGAUCACAUAAUGGAAAAAUUCUGAAACAAAGGAAUAAACAAAAAACAGUCUGAAAACAUUAGCUGUUUUCACUUCACUGUGAAGUGACAUGUCCCUUAUCAACACCUCAGCCAGGAAACAUUGUACUGAAGGAAUAUGAAAGAGGGUAGGGAUAGACAAUCAGAGAAGGUCCACUUAUCUGAGCAUUCAGCCCCUCUGCCCCACUGCACUAAAUGAAACCUUUGAUACGUUUUUGGGUUUGAUCCCCAACAAAAUGGAACCAAUGGUGAAACGGAAGGCUUAUGAGUGUGGUGGUAGUCUAUUUAAUUGUGGAAAUGUCCUUCCAUGCUUGGUUUGAUCGGGAGAGAGGCUGUGGAAGAGGAGGUGAACAAAAGAUGGGAGGGGCCCAGUGACCUAUGGAGAUUAAGCAAUAGCCAGAGGGCACUUGGAAAGGCAGAUGAAGGGUUGUGGUGCUGAGGCUCAGAGGGAGGCACCAUGAGGAGGCAGCUCAUCCAAGUCAAGUCAAACAUCACCUGGUCAAAGCUGUAGUCAAUGCCACUGAUCACAACCUUCAACCUCUUCUUCUGCAGGUGAAGGCAGGCAGGGGCUGGGCUGCAGUGCACAUACAGAUGGCCUCAGGGAUGGGCCACAUCUGCAGGGACACACAAGGCAGCCAGGUUUCUUAAAGUUGAACAGAACCAAUAGAAAACUUAAACCUUUUUUUUCUUUCCUCUUCUCCUGAGCUUUGGUUUCAUAGGGUUAGGCUGUAUUUUUGUAACCUUCCAAUCAAUCUUUAACUUACCCAUUUUUAAUGUCUGAGAUUUAAAAUACUGAUUUUCCAGCUAAAAUUGUAUUAUUAAUUUUCAUAAUACACUGAAAUUCAGAAACAAUUGACUCAGCAGAUAAAUUUGAGGUGUACCCACAAGCACCUUUCCAAGUCAUCAGGACUUAAGUGGGUGCUUACACUGCAGGACUCAUUUCACACAGCAGUGUCUCCAAGUCAUUACGUCUUCAUUGUAACACAUAUUAUAAAAUACAGGGGAAAUAAAAGACUAUCCCUAUGCAAAAAUGUGUUACCACUACUUAUACAGUGUGUACAGGAGGCCUGAAGCCAGCACUGCUUGUAAAACAGACAGCUGCAAAUGAGAUAAAGCCUGUUAGACCUAUUCACCAUGGCAUUUUAUUCUGUUUUGUUCUUUGCACAAAAUACCUUCCCUGCAGGUCACUGCACAACAGUUCAUCUCACAGUGAAUAUUCCUGCACAGUGGUUAUGGCCCAUAAUCCAGCUUGGAUCUGUAUCUCGCAGGAGGGAAUGUUUUUCAUUGCUUUCUGCACCGCUCUUCUGCUCUUGAUUGGAACAAGCUGCUGUCCCUGGGGUAAUCCUUGGGCCACUACCCAUCACUGUGAGUGAUGUCAACACAUUUUUGAAUGUGUGGCUAUUAGCACUCUUUCCAAACACAAGUUUCAAAAAGAACUCCUCACACUGUAAUUUGUUUGGUAGACAUUCCCUCUCCCUAGCCUCCCUUGCUAUUGGACAGACUGACUGAAUUUUUUUAUCAUUUAAACAAAUAAACUAUGUAAAUUGUUGCUUGCUGACCCUAAUUAAGGCUUACAGCUGCCUGGAAGACCAGACAGUGCACUCCGUUCUCCUUAGUCAACAGCAACAAGUAGAUGAAAAUUUGAAUGAAAGUCUAAUUUUCCACUUCAAGUAAAAAGUGGGUCUGGGUGGAGGGAGGCAGGAGAAACAUAUAUGCUACACCUCCUUGUGCUAGCACAAGUCCGAGGCACUGCUGGAGUUCAGGGGCUGCAAAUUUCACCUUGGGAAUUAAUGAAUUCAUUGAAUGAAGAAAGGAUAGUUUCGCCCACGCUGUGAGACAGUGGAGGAGACCAGAGACCAGUGUGUUGUGUGUGUUUAAAGUGACCCUUUGAGCGUCUUGUUGAUAUGCUGAACUUUUACUGGGGGAUAAGGCAGCAACCUCCUUCAUUUUGGAAAGUGGCCAUAAAGACAGAGUGAUGCCCUGUGGGUGCACACCCCAUGGCGUUACCCCUCUGCACACUGAGGUCCUCCGCUGAGACAGCUGAAAUGAGUGGAGAGAACACUGUACUCUGGUGAGCACCAUGCAGCUACAUUUCACGGGCUCUGACUGUGGUGGAGGAGCAGCUCCUGGAAUCUCUGAAGAGUCAGGGGGCAGGGGAGACUGAGAAAGGUGAUGGGAGAAAUAAUAAGCUAGGACUGCCCACCACUGAAUCUUCUUGGGGACUGCAUGACACCCCUGCUAUCUGCAGAAAUCCUGCAAGGGAGAACUCUUGCAUUAUUUGGCAUGAUUGGCCUGCUGAGGGUGGGGAGGCUUAAUCAAAAGAAAGCAACAUGCUUUGGAGUUGAAGAUGCUGUGUAAGUAUAAAGUCAACUCUCACACUCUUUACUACAUUCUCUUGUUCCAUUUAUGUGAACUAGGGAAUAAAUUCUCCCCUGUACUGUGACUUACAGCUCCAAGAAGAGCUGCAAGAGCCAGUUCAGACCAGUCCUGUCUCCAAGGUUGGCACAUACCCCAGAUUUUCACCUACUCAGUCCCAUACAUAUUAAUGCAUAGACAUCUUUAUUUGUGUAUAUGUACUCAAUUACAUACUUAAACAAAAUUCUGAAAACUUUGGCAGUAAACUCCAUUAUUCUGCAGUAGUUGAAUGACAUUCUGUCAUUCUUUAGAAAAUUCCAUUCAUGAUAGCAGUCAUAUAUGCAUUUUUAUAGCUCUUUAUGAACAAGAUUUUAAGAAUCACUUAUCUGGACAUCUGCUUGAUUGUACCUUGAUUGUACCUUGAUAUAAGGUACAUUUGGAAAUGUGAUCACAAGGUACCGAACAAUUCUCUAGUCAAGAGUGCAUACUGUGGAAUAAAUGAGUUAGGGUAUGCAGGCUGCAGCUUCAAGACAAUAGGGCUAAGGCCAAGACAUGAAACUACUUCAGAUAAAAACAGCAGCCAAAGUUCGUAGCAGAGACUAUAACAGCCCAAGUUCUGGCAUCUGUGCCUUUCACACUGUUCCAGUUUUGCCUGUCUGAGCUAGCCAGGUAAAAACUUGCCUCAGCUGAGUCUGUGCACACACCAAUCUUGACUUCUGGUGACAGUAGAGAGGAAGCCUCUGAAAUUAUUUGGAAUGUUUUGGAUGAAUUCUUUGCAAAUGAGGAAAAUAAGUCUUCAGCUGAAGGGUGGUUUGAUCUCUGACUAACUUACUGCUCUGCAUGUACAGCCAGACCACCACAAACAUCACCAUAUCUGACUGCCCUCAGCCAGCAAUGCAGGUCUCCCACAGGAGAGGUUGUGGUAUGCAGUUGGAAGAAAAAUGGAUAUCGUUAGGGAAAAGGACAAAAAAAAAUGAAAGAACCCAUAAAUUAGGCACAUGUUGCCUUUUGAAAUGGUUUGCAAGCUAAGGAAUUAUAAACUGCAAACAAUCCUGGAUAGAUUAAUUUAUGCUUGUUAGCUUUCUCAGAUGUGUAACUGACAGAGAACAACUGUCCAGGCCACUCCUAUGGAGGUUUCAGCAAAUUCCAGAGUCUGAGUGCAAAAUGAGAAACCAUGUAUCAUCUGUCAACAAAAACUCUGCUGCUUUGAGUAGUCUGACCAUGUAUCAAACAGUGGUGUUCGCUGAGAAUUUUUUUGCACAACAUAAUGGGGAGUUGGGUAAAGUCAGGUUAAAAAUGCUCACAUUAGUUUUAAUCAAGCUGAUAUAGGUAAAAUAACUCCCUGUAUAAGUUUUGGUGUUAACCAACAACCAGUUCCAUAUGGGAGCCCAUGGGGAGAUUAAUAGUCAUGUUGUCAACAGAUUGUCACUGUCAUGUUUAGUGAUGGUGGCUGAAAGAAAACUCAGCUAGGUCUGCCUGCCUAUGGUCACAGUGUUGUGUUGUUGUGCAGUCAUAUUCUUGCUGCCAUAGCACUCCUCCAAGCAUAAAUGGAGUGGUAUCCACCUGGCAAACCAGUGUGUAAGCCCUCGUGUUCUUCUGUGAGGAAAUGAUGAUGUGGAUGGUGGGAGUGGCCAUUCUUUUCACAACUAACAAUCAUUUAACUGUCUGUCCAUCUGUCUGUCUAUCUACUAUUUCACAUAAAAGGGUGGGAGAAUGUGGUGUAAGAUAAAGUAUGGUAGAGGGUUCUCAUAUUUUUAUACACUCUUGCAGCUUUCUAACUUGAGAUGUAAUUUCCUGCAAAACUAGUCAGAGUCAUUCAGAUGAUACUUUUCAUGCCAUCAUUAUAGUAGAUUUGUCCAAAGGCGCUAUUAUUUUGUCUCCAUCUGUAAAUAUAUCAUGAGGUAUUAGGAAUGGGUUAAAGUUAGCCUCGAAUGCGAUUGGCAAAAGUAAUAUUGUAAGAUAUUAUGCCUCAUUUUAUGGAACUUUUUCAAGAAACUGUCUAAGAAAGUAAGAAUUGUAUAUAGGCUUCAGCUGAGAUAGCACCUGGCUUUUCAGAGGAAAAUUAAUGUUUAAAAUGCAUUUUUGUUCCUGUGUAUUUUGGUUAACACUUAUUGUAAGUUAUCAUUGUUCAUUAAUUUCACAACUUGUACCAUGGUGCUUAGCAAGUUGUCUUCUUAGAGCUUCCAAUUCUAGAGACAGCAAAGAUACGAAAAUAAAACUUUUGCUAUGUGUUGUGCAUAGAGAAUUCUGCUUUAAAAGAGAGUGGGAGAUGUAUGGUUUUGCAAUUGCCCUUAUCUCUGUUAGAGGAAGAUUACAUACAUAUGUCACUGUGCCUGCUAUUUUUGCAGUUUUCAAGGUUGCUUUCCUUCUUCUACUGUAUUAAAGUACAUUUUUGCAAUGUAGGACUCUCAACAUUGUUUUCACUUUGCUCAGAGCUGCAUAAAAAUUAUUCUUUAACAUUUCAUAUAACUCAAAGUGACAUCUGAACUUUUGAAAAGAGACAUAAAGUUUUGUACUGAUAAAGCAAAGACUCAUUUCUAAAGAAAUUCCUAAGGACAUUUUGUUAUCUGGAAGUUUCUUUCUGAUAUUUGAUAUUCUGCUGGGUUAAGAACUGGCUGGAGGGCCGGGCCCGGAGAGUGCUGGUGAAUGGGGCUGCAUCUAGCUGGCAGCCAGUCACUAGUGGUGUCCCCCAGGGGUCGGUGUUGGGUCCAGUCCUGUUUAACAUCUUUAUUAAUGAUUUAGAUGAGGGGAUUGAGACCGUCAUCAGCAAAUUUGCUGAUGACACCAAGUUGGGAGGGAGUGUCGACCUGCUGGAAGGCAAGAGGGCUCUGCAGAGGGAUCUGGAUAGACUGGAAAAAUUGGCUGAUUCCAAUGGGAUGAAGUUCAAUAAGGCCAAAUGCCGGGUGCUGCACUUUGGUCACAACAACCCCCUGCAGCUACAGGCUGGGCGCAGAGUGGCUGGAGAGCAGUCAGACAGAAAGGGACCUGGGGGUACUAAUUGACAGGAAGCUCAACAUGAGCCAACAGUGUGCCCAGGUGGCCAAGAAGGCCAACGGUAUCCUGUCCUGUAUCAAAAAUAGCGUGGUCAGCAGGACAAGGGAAGUGAUCCUUCCCCUGUACUCUGCAUUGGUGAGGCCACACGUAUUGUGUUCAGUUCUGGGCCCCUCAGUUCAGGAAAGACAUUGAAGUGCUGGAGCGGAUCCAGAGAAGAGCAACACGACUGAUGAAGGGACUUGAGCACAAGACCUAUGGGGAGAGGCUGAGGGAGCUGGGGUUGUUUAGUCUAGAGAAGAGGAGGCUUAGAGGUGACCUCAUCACUCUCUAUAACUACCUGAAGGGAAGUCAGCCAGGUGGGGAUUGGUCUCUUAUCCUAGGCAGUCAGCAAUAGGACAAGGGGGCACGGGCUUAAACUCUGCCAGGGGAAAUUUAGGCUGGAUAUUAGAAAGAAAUUCUUUAUGGAGAGAGUGAUCAGGCGUUGGAAUGGCCUGCCCAGGGAGGUGGUGGACUCACCGUCCCUGGAGGUUUUUAAAUGGAGAUUGGACAAGGCACUUAGUGCUGUGAUCUAGUAAAUGGACUGAAGUUGGACCAAGGGUUGGACUUGAUGUACUCUGAGGUCUUUUCCAGCCCAGUCGAUUCUGUGAUUCCUUUUAGUCCCUUGCCAUCAAUUUAAUUGUUAGUAUGGGGUAUUUUUAAAUUUCCCUUUGUUUCUGUAAAUCUUAGCUAUAUUAAAUCUAGAAGAUUAGGGGAUUUUUAUAGCAUUCACAGAACUAUUUCUACAAGAAGAACUUACAAAGGAAGGUUUUGCACAGAUUUCCCUGUAACUUUUGUCAUGUUUGGAAAGGAGUUUAAGUUAGAAUGCUCCAUUAAUUUCACUGUUAAGAGUGUUUUGGAGAAAAGGGAGGAGAAACAAUAGUGUUCUCCAAGUUAUUGUAGGUACAAUACUAUGGUUUUGUUUUGUGUGGUUUUAAGUAAAGACUCAUAGCUUUAGGGGAUUGGUAUAACCUUCGGUUUCAAAUGAUGUUAGAGGAAUAGACUAAAAAAGUACGUGGAUUAGUGCAGGCAAUGAAGACAAUCUUGAAAUAGAUUGAGGGUCAGUAAAUUUUACAUCAAGUUUUUCCAGGACAACUUGUAUCCUUCCAGAAAAAUAUUUACUGAAAGGCUCAGUGUUGAAGCAUUACAAGGGAUACAUACCUCUGAUUUGAGGCAUAUAUUUUACCCUCACUGAUUUUAUGUGCAAAAAUUAUUACGAGUCCAUUAACUUUUGGAGGUCCUUCCAGUUCUAGAGUUUCAUCAACUUUUACUAAAAAAGGGUGACUUUGUAAACAAUUCAUUAUUUCUCUUGGAUAGUGCUCAAAUACUUCAUAUAGUCAUUUAAAAAUAGGGCUGGAAAGGACUUCUAUGUGUAAAGUAGUUCAACCCCUAUGCCAAAGUGAAAUAAUCUAUAACUGUGUCAUUUCAGAAAAAUCAUUGUUUAAUAUGUUUUUUAAGAUCUCAGGGGAUAGAGAUUGUGUACAUUACCUAGGAGAUGCAUUUUACUUGUUUUCUGAAAGAAAAUCCUCCUGUAUGCCUUCUCGUAACUCCUUUUAAUUUCUGUCUUCAGGCUGAAUAAUGCCAGCUUUUGAGUCUUUCCCUGUAGGUUCAAUUUUAUGGUUGUUUUUCAUUCCCAUUGCCCUCUCCUGCAUUUUUAACAAUUGGUAUAACUAUUGUUGAAACACAUACCAGUUAGGUAUGUGCUGGGUAAAACAGAGGGCAUGUUACUUCCCAUGCUUUGUGGGACAAAGUUGCAUUCAGAACUUUCUGUGUCUUUUUUCCUCAAAGAUGUGACAUUACUGGUUUGUGUUCAGCUUUGAAACCACUGAGCCAUGGUGUGUAGCUGAAGAACUGCUGCUGUGCCAUUUGCUCUCCAUCUUGCAUCUCAGAUUACCCCUGAAUGAGUAAAGAAUAUUGAACUCCUUUUCAUUAAGCUUAGAUCAUUCUCAGAACCUCUUCUGUGCUUUUUCUCAGGGUUGUUUAAAUUCCUCCCUGCUUCGUCACCUACAAUUUUUAUAAAAUACUUCAUAUUCUUCCACCCUAGCUGUUUCUGAAGACAUUGGACAAGACUGAGAAUAAAGUGCAUGCCUAAAGAAUGUUUUCUCAUCCUUCCUCUCAUUCUGGCAAUGAACUGUGCCUUAUGGCUUUCUAAAGUGUUUUAUCCAAGUACUUUUAAGCCCAUUUCGCAGUUCAUGUUCCUGUGCUGUGGAAUGUCAAAAAUGUGACAUGAAACUGUGUGAGAAGCCUUCUUCGGAUACAAGAUACUUCAUAACUAUUAUUUCUACUCAAUACAUUGAAGCUAUUAUUUUAUCAUAAAAAGAAAUAUGUUUACCUACAAUGA